Molecule: long non-coding RNA, 872 nt
Filed under: Lynx pardinus (Iberian lynx)
Lineage: Eukaryota; Metazoa; Chordata; Mammalia; Carnivora; Felidae
Source: RNAcentral
AACCAAACAGGACACUGUAGGUCUCAGUAUGACAGAAAGCUUUUGUUGAAGUGGGAGGCUGACAGGGUUUUUUGUUUAUUUGUUUGUUAUUCAAAUAACUUUCCCCCUGAGGAAAGUCAAAGGGAAAUGUCAGAAGCAUGUGAUUAAUGAUUUUUAAAAUAGAUGGAUCCUCCCUGUUGAAUUGAAAAGUAUGUAUUGAAAAGGAACCCACCCUACUAAAUAUUAGAUUUUCAUAUGUAGGUUUGAUAUUAAUUCUUUCAAGGGAGUUGUGCUUUUGAGUCAGAUAAAUGACAGAAGGGUCUAAGUAUCAACAUCCUCUUGAGAGGCAGCUGUUCAGUAACAUUCUUAAAUCAUAAUGAUGAAUAGAAUUGCAACAUUGAUGAUGUGACCAACUGGUGAUGGGGAGUCAUCCCCAAGCUGUGUGCAGUGUUAAUGUGCUUCCUAAAAUAGUGUUAAAAUUAAAAAAAAAAGUACAUGCUGUUGGGGAUAAGGGUAAGGUGGUGAUGAUGGCGGGGGGCGGGGGGUGGGGUGUAAGGGAAGAUUCCAGAAAGAAAAACCUACACCAAAAUAUACAUUCUUUUUCUUUCUUUCUUUUUUUUUUUUUUAAGAUUCCUUUUAAUAGGCUCUUAAAGCAAAGACAGAAGCUGAAAACAUUCCAUGUAAAUAAACAGCAAAGAACUCCAAAUGCUUAGCAGACCAGAACACCGGAAAGAGCUUGCUUGGUACUGCCAGGCAUGACCGGCUUUAGUGGAUUUAACAAUAAAAAAGAAGAUGGCGCCAAAUGACCAAACUACAUGAGACUUUCCCUUCCAGCAAGAAAAGUGGAUAAAACUUUGCACUGGGUGUAGGGGGAGGGUCUAGAGAGAUAAAAU